UGGGGAAUAUUGCACAAUGGGCGCAAGCCUGAUGCAGCCAUGCCGCGUGUAUGAAGAAGGCCUUCGGGUUGUAAAGUACUUUCAGCGGGGAGGAAGGGAGUAAAGUUAAUACCUUUGCUCAUUGACGUUACCCGCAGAAGAAGCACCGGCUAACUCCGUGCCAGCAGCCGCGGUAAUACGGAGGGUGCAAGCGUUAAUCGGAAUUACUGGGCGUAAAGCGCACGCAGGCGGUUUGUUAAGUCAGAUGUGAAAUCCUCGGGCUCAACCUGGGAACUGCAGCUGAUACUGGCAAGCUUGAGUCUCGUAGAGGGGGGUAGGAUUCCAGGUGUAGCGGUGAAAUGCGUAGAGAUCUGGGGGAAUACCGGUGGCGAAGGCGGCCCCCUGGACGAAGACUGACGAUCAGGUGCGAAAGCGUGGGGAGCAAACAGG
This 429-nucleotide ribosomal RNA is filed under the name Chloroflexota bacterium. RNAcentral's name for it is "Chloroflexi bacterium partial 16S ribosomal RNA". It matches the Rfam family "Bacterial small subunit ribosomal RNA", at positions 355 to 776 of the family's 1533-position model. Lineage: Bacteria; Bacillati; Chloroflexota. The record is from RNAcentral.